UCCUCGCGUCCUGCACCUCCAUUCGAACACGUCAUUGCCUCUGCCGGUUAGCAUAUUCUCGCGUCGUUUUGUUCUUUUGUUCUUCUUCGUCUGUAUUAACAGUCACGGGUAAAUCCUUCGUUUUGGCCGGGGAUAUACUCAAGAGGUUUGGAUUGCCUAAAAGAUAUCAAGUUGGAUUCAUUCAUCUAUGAGGAAUACUUUGUUUGUUUGUUCUGGCAGGAAGGAGUCUAUGACAUACAACGAAGAAGGAACUCAUGGCAGGAUGGAGUCUAUGACACGAGCAGUCCAAUCUCAACAGGAAAAACUUCACUUCCAAUCUCAACAACAAGAAGAAGUAGCAGCACUACAAAAGUAUAUUAUUCUGUUAGGACUUGGAUAUCAUCUUUCAUAGGACUUGGAUAUCAUCUUUCAUAGGACUAGGAUAUUCAUUAUCUCAUUUGUAUUACAGCUGAAAUAUAUUAUUCUGUUAUUUUUAUCUCUC
RNA transcript from Manihot esculenta (cassava), 481 nucleotides. RefSeq lists it as uncharacterized. The transcript has 3 exons. NCBI's taxonomy places the organism in Eukaryota, Viridiplantae, Streptophyta, Magnoliopsida, Malpighiales, Euphorbiaceae. The record is from RefSeq and is a predicted model, not a curated record.